CAGUUAACACACACUUUAUUCCCUCUCUUAGGGCACAUCAGAUUUCUGGCCGACACCAACCACCGCCCACUUCGAUGACCAAGCAACCUCCCUCUGCCACCAACAAGUUAUGAAGUAUGCAAGAAAUGUUAGGCGAAGCAAAGGAGUGCUGGAUCUUAACGUUCCUCCAGUUGAAAACCUUGAGCAAGCCCUUUUAGUGGAUGACAGUGCUCAAGGUUUAUUAUCAUUAUCUGCAACUCUAGGGAUUCCUAGUGGUCAAGUUCAUCAGCCAGCUAGAUCCACACUACCAUCACCCACAACAUUUGAAGAAAUGGCGGCGGUAAUGGUGGAUAACGGUGGUAGAUGACACAACAUUGGGGGGUUUCUUGAUAAUAUUCAGACGGCGACAACUGUGAGGGGCUUUCUAGAUGAUGCCGGAAACCUAACUAUCCGUUGCCGGAAUAAUAUUCAGACGGAGAAACCUACUCCGAUAGAUUCUUUAAAUAGGGUGUUCAAAUCAAUAUUGAUAUUUUUGUUCCAAUAAGAUAGAUUGAUUAUAGAGUGAUGGGGAUUGUGCAAUGAUGGGUGGUCGGCUUGUGGUGGCGGGUUGUAUAUGGGUGAUCGGCUAGUGGUGGUGACCGGUAGAUCUAGCGUUUUUAGUCUGGAAAAUUGGGGAUAGAGGUUGUGGUUUCAGUGGUGGGUGUUGUGCAAAUCGGAGGCAGUGGUGGAGGGUGGCGGCGGCUGAUGGCGCCGGUGGUGGACGGGUAGGGACAGAGAGUGGUAGAGAGAUAACAUUUUAAUUUAUUUAAAAUGGUUAAGUAUUUAAGUUA
This is a long non-coding RNA of Helianthus annuus (common sunflower), 809 nucleotides long. RefSeq lists it as uncharacterized. The record is from RefSeq and is a predicted model, not a curated record. Lineage: Eukaryota; Viridiplantae; Streptophyta; Magnoliopsida; Asterales; Asteraceae. The transcript is spliced from 2 exons.